UGUCGCACUAAUGACGACACCUCUGCUUUCAAACAAACACACAAAGGUAUUUAAAAUGCGAUAAAACUGAAUUGUUCCAUUUAAACAUGUGGCGAAAUAUUGUAUUUAAACGAUAUGUUGUUUUAGAUUUCGUUUAGGAGGAAUAACGUCGCAUGUUAAAGUUAUCUAGUUUGCUUUUUGGCCAGCCUGUUACAGUUGCGCUCUAGUGUAUUGGCACCCUUGUACGUCUAUUUUAAAUAAUUCAAUACGUCUUCAAAUAUACAUUUAAAAUCAAAAACGUGUUCACACGUGUACUGUGGUAAGUUGCAGGUCUUUUUACAAGGUAAAAACAGCCAUUCAAAUCGUGUUGAAAAGAGAACAGGAUAUUCUGCUUCAUUAUAACGUUACCACUGUGAACAUGGCGAAGGGGAAAGAACUGUCUGAGGAUUUCGUAAUGUUAUCAGGAAGCAUGCUGUCCAUGGAGUUGUAGUCAACCUCCCAGGACGUGGGCGCAAGAAGACUCUGGUUCCACCGGGUGAAAAGAGAGAACUUGCAAGAAGAAUCUGGUUCCACCAGUUGAAAAAGCAGUUCGUUCUGCAUCUAUCCAAAAUAAAAUGACAUCUGUUUGUGAUGCCACCAAUGAUGACAAGGAAAAUGGUUCCGAGUCGACAGAGUCUCAGGACAAGGAACAUCCACGGCUUCUCAUCCCAGAGUUAUGUCGUCUUUUCUACCAACUCGGCUGGGUUACUGGGACAGGGGGAGGGCUAAGUUUGAGACGUGGAGAUCAGAUCUACAUUGCCCCGUCUGGAGUGCAGAAGGAGAGACUACAGGUGAGCAGGGCUGGUGUUUUACCUUCAUAUCAUCAUAGAGACUACAGGUGAGCAGGGCUGAUGUUUUACCUUCAU
Molecule: RNA transcript, 884 nt
Organism: Oncorhynchus gorbuscha (pink salmon)
Lineage: Eukaryota; Metazoa; Chordata; Actinopteri; Salmoniformes; Salmonidae
Gene name: methylthioribulose-1-phosphate dehydratase-like
Exons: 4
Source: RefSeq, a predicted model, not a curated record